AUGGUUCCGGAGUUGUUAGUUCUUGGGCUUCAUCGAUCGUGGGAGAUUUGCCAUCACCUAAGAAAAUACAGCAACCGUGAUGUGGAGCAUCCCUCAACCAUCACCAUGGAUUUCACACCACCUCCGCAAGCAUGGAAAGGACAUACGUCGAGAGCUCACACAUGCACCGUCGAAACUGAGGUAACUUCUUUCCUCUUCGAACUCCCUUCGAUUUCACAUGUGAACCGGGUCCUACCUCAAAUGGAGAUAUAUUGCACUCUCAGGUACCAAGGAGAUGACCGUGGGGAGGUGAGGAUGAAGACCCGGACACACAAGCAGAAGGAGAAGGAGAGAAGCAUGAAGAACGAGAGGAUCGGAGGCCCCUGGACCCUCCGGGUGCCCGGACGUGGACAUCCCCGGGUGCCCGGUCCCCUAGCAGCCGGCCGGCCCCCUCCCUGGACGCCCCAGGUGCCCGACCUGGUUGGCCCUGGGUGCCCGGCCCUGCUGCUGGGCACUGCAGCCGCCGCCCCAGGUGCCCGGCCAGCUGGCCCCUGGUGCUGA
This 540-nucleotide ribosomal RNA is filed under the name Triticum aestivum (bread wheat). Its description in RNAcentral is "partial small subunit ribosomal RNA". Lineage: Eukaryota; Viridiplantae; Streptophyta; Magnoliopsida; Poales; Poaceae. The record is from RNAcentral.